AGUCACCGGGCCAGCCGGCGCGGGCUGCGGGGGUGUGGGUGUGGGAGGGGCGCGCCUGCAGAGACGAGGAGGGAGACAGCACGGGGAGAGACCGACGGAGCUGCAGAGACGGAGGCUGAGGCACACAAGGGAAGGCAGCCGAGAGAGACGGACAGGCAGCGCGAGCGAUCUACACACCCAAGCCCCACUGGGAGCCGCCCUGCGCCCUGGAUCCUGGGAAGAGCACAGUGAACCUUCACAGACUCAGAGCCCAGAGAGGAUUGACGGAUGGGGAAACCAAGGCCGAGUGAGCCAGCAGCUUCCCCAAGGCCCCACACAGGCCACAUCCCAGGGCUCCAGUCCCUGUCCCUCUGCUCCUAUAGACCCGGUCCUGCAGCCAGGGCCCCCGCUGGCACCUUUAAAUAGCACCCGGGCGAAGACAAGGUGAUAAGCCUGACCUGUUGGAAGCGUAACCGGUCUGGCCAGAAGCUGGGAUGCCUCCCUCCAGCUCUGGGGAAUCCCUGCUCCCUCUUCCAGGCCCCGGGGGGCCCGUGCAUCUCUCCAGAUGGGAGAGGAUGUCUCCAUACUCGGAGCCCUGAGGCCAGCGCCUGAGGGACCCUGCACGAUCGUAUCACGUCCGCAGGCCUCAGUGUCUCUGGAAAAUGGGCCAGCAAGGGAAGGCUGUAAGGACGGAACGAGGUAAUCCACGACCUUGCUGGGCAGAGGGCGCAUUACACAAACCUGGAAUAACAUCCUGUUUCCCACCAGGCAAAACUGGGUCUUCCCUUCCUGGAGUGUCCCCACCCUCCCCCCCAGGAGGACAGUCUUUGGGCUCCGUGUGCCGGGGGUGGGACCCACGCCCAGGAAGCCGUCCUGCCCCGGGUGUUGAUGGAGGUUAAUAACAGCUUCAUUGAAAUACAGUUCACACAUCGCACAAUUCACCCACCCCCCCCACACCCACGAGCCCCCUUCCCGUCCGGGGAGAAGCCUGUUCUGGACGUUUCACGCACGUGGACUCACACCCCGCGUGGCCUCCCGUGUCUGGUUCCCUCCCUGAGCGUCGCGUGUUCACGUCGGGUGUGGGCGCCGCGCUCCUGCUCGAGGCCGAGGGACAUGCGUGGUGGACACGUGAGAUCCCGGCCUUUCUCUACCUUUCUCAACACGGACACAACCCAGGUUCAUCUGAACAUCUCAGGGCAUGAAUCAGACAAAACAUUCUGGGUCUGAACCCGACAUAAGCAAACAGCUUCUGAAACACGGUGUUGCCCAAAUUCCAACCUCUGACGCUGUGUUCCCUGUUUAAUUACAUUUGUCUCCACCUGU
Hyaena hyaena (striped hyena) is the source of this 1302-nucleotide RNA transcript. RefSeq lists it as uncharacterized. The transcript has 4 exons. The record is from RefSeq and is a predicted model, not a curated record. NCBI's taxonomy places the organism in Eukaryota, Metazoa, Chordata, Mammalia, Carnivora, Hyaenidae.